This 372-nucleotide ribosomal RNA is filed under the name uncultured organism. RNAcentral's name for it is "bacterial SSU rRNA". It matches the Rfam family "Bacterial small subunit ribosomal RNA", at positions 526 to 896 of the family's 1533-position model. The record is from RNAcentral.
CGUAGGGGGCGAGCGUUGUCCGGAUUUACUGGGCGUAAAGCGCGUGUAGGCGGCGAUUUAAGUGGAGUGUGAAAGCCCGGGGCUCAACCCCGGAGUGCCGCUUCAGACUGGAUCGCUUGAGGCUGGAAGAGGGGAGUGGAAUUCCUGGUGUAGCGGUGAAAUGCGUAGAGAUCAGGAGGAACACCCGUGGCGAAGGCGGCUCCCUGGUCCGGUUCUGACGCUGAGACGCGAAAGCGCGGGGAGCGAACGGGAUUAGAUACCCCGGUAGUCCGCGCCGUAAACGAUGGUCACUAGGUGUGCGUGGUAUCGACCCCACGCGUGCCGGCGCUAACGCAUUAAGUGACCCGCCUGGGGAGUACGGCCGCAAGGUUG